Non-coding RNA from Grammomys surdaster, 136 nucleotides. The record is from RefSeq and is a predicted model, not a curated record. Lineage: Eukaryota; Metazoa; Chordata; Mammalia; Rodentia; Muridae.
GACCUUUGUCCACUGAACUGUGGGGAUCCCUUUCCUCCUCAGGCAGAGCUUGAGGUCAAGAUCAGCCGUUGAGAAUUGUGGAUUAUCAUGAGGACGGCCAUGAGUAGGGAGUGCCAUUUUCCUUCCUCAGACAUUC